Molecule: unclassified non-coding RNA, 215 nt
Filed under: Glomeraceae sp.
Lineage: Eukaryota; Fungi; Glomeromycota; Glomeromycetes; Glomerales; Glomeraceae
Description: partial contains 5.8S ribosomal RNA and internal transcribed spacer 2
Rfam family: 5.8S ribosomal RNA (bases 1-71)
Source: RNAcentral
GUGAAUCAUCGAAUUUUUGAACGCAAAUUGCACUCUUUGGUAUUCCGGAGAGUAUGCCUGUUUGAGGGUCAGUUUAAAUAAAAAUCGGUGUGGUGGCUGCCUUUCGUGGUGACGCACCGGAUGUGGGUCGUCCUGAAUUCGGUUAAGUGACCUAAAAUUGAGCAUGAUUUUUUUCGAACGUAUGUAAAUGAUUUUACGAACGUUUGGGAUAUCGA